Long non-coding RNA from Syngnathus acus (greater pipefish), 438 nucleotides. RefSeq lists it as uncharacterized. The record is from RefSeq and is a predicted model, not a curated record. The transcript is spliced from 3 exons. Lineage: Eukaryota; Metazoa; Chordata; Actinopteri; Syngnathiformes; Syngnathidae.
GAGAGCCACAGCGCCAUAUCUCAGCAGCCCAGCGGUCCCCGAGGGAGUUUUGACCUUUGCGGAUUUCAAAAGACCCAAAUUUUUCCAGAGGAGUGGGCAGCAAGAAAACUGAGUGCUGCAGCCAAGUGGAGACUGUGGACUAUAGUACCGCGACAUUGAGACCUUAUACAAAGCCACAUCGUAAUGAUGUCCUUCUUCCGGAAUGGGCUGCAAGGUGGACUGUCCUUGCUUCAUUCUCUUGGAACACACAAUAAAGACUGCAGCCCACAGGCUUAACUGCUGUAAGGUAAAAGAAAUACAAUUCAUUUAUUUUUCAAAAAAGAAUACAUUUAAAGCACAUACUGCAGGUUAGACGUAUUUCUUUCACUCUUGUGUUAGCCUGUUUCUGUUGUUAGUUGGGGGUGGGGGGCGCAAACCAAAUUCCAGACUGUUGGAAAA